This is a long non-coding RNA of Gymnodraco acuticeps, 502 nucleotides long. RefSeq lists it as uncharacterized. The transcript is spliced from 3 exons. Lineage: Eukaryota; Metazoa; Chordata; Actinopteri; Perciformes; Bathydraconidae. The record is from RefSeq and is a predicted model, not a curated record.
CCUGCUGGAGCUACAGCUAUCUGUGUGUCUGUUACUGGAGUUUAUGGAUUCAUAUCGGGAUCGUUUUACAUCUACACGUUAAAUAUGAGCAUCGGGACGUCAACAAAGAACAGAAGACUUGAGAUCUGAGCACCAGUGGACAGCGAAGACUAUGGAAGAGAAGAUGUGAUGGUUUUGUGUGGAAAGCUGCUAACGCCAGCCUGUGUCCCUCUCAUCAGUCUCUCCAGGCAGCACCCAGCUAUUCUUGCAGAUGAAAAUACUUUGAUAUCAUCUGGACACAGCAGGAACCUACGCCAGGAUCCUGUUUGUGGACUUCAGCUCUGCCUUCAACACAACACUCUGGCUGGAGGCUGCGCUCCAUCAGGACCAACACCUCUCUCCCUCAGGACCAGAACCUCUCUCCAUCAGGACCAACACCUCUCUCCAUCAGGACCAACACCUCUCUCCAUCAGGACCAACACCUCUCUCCAUCAGGACCAACACCUCUCUCCAUCAGGACCAG